GAUGAACGCUGGCGGCGUGCCUAAUACAUGCAAGUCGAGCGAACAGAUGAGGAGCUUGCUCCUCUGACGUUAGCGGCGGACGGGUGAGUAACACGUGGAUAACCUACCUAUAAGACUGGGAUAACUUCGGGAAACCGGAGCUAAUACCGGAUAAUAUAUUGAACCGCAUGGUUCAAUAGUGAAAGACGGUUUUGCUGUCACUUAUAGAUGGAUCCGCGCCGCAUUAGCUAGUUGGUAAGGUAACGGCUUACCAAGGCAACGAUGCGUAGCCGACCUGAGAGGGUGAGCGGCCACCCUGGAACUGAGACACGGUCCAGACUCCUACGGGAGGCAGCAGUAGGGAAUCUUCCGCAAUGGGCGAAAGCCUGACGGAGCAACGCCGCGUGAGUGAUGAAGGUCUUCGGAUCGUAAAACUCUGUUAUUAGGGAAGAACAAAUGUGUAAGUAACUAUGCACGUCUUGACGGUACCUAAUCAGAAAGCCACGGCUAACUACGUG
Molecule: ribosomal RNA, 497 nt
Filed under: uncultured bacterium
Lineage: Bacteria
Description: partial 16S ribosomal RNA
Rfam family: Bacterial small subunit ribosomal RNA
Source: RNAcentral